GUGCUCGCUUCAGCAGCACAUAAACUAAAAUUGGAACGAUACAGAGAAGAUUAGCAUGGCCCCUACGCAAGGAUGACACACAAAUUCGUGAGGCAUUCCAUAUUUAA
Callithrix jacchus (white-tufted-ear marmoset) is the source of this 107-nucleotide small nuclear RNA. The record is from Ensembl. NCBI's taxonomy places the organism in Eukaryota, Metazoa, Chordata, Mammalia, Primates, Cebidae.